This 839-nucleotide ribosomal RNA is filed under the name Escherichia coli. RNAcentral's name for it is "partial 23S ribosomal RNA". It matches the Rfam family "Bacterial large subunit ribosomal RNA", at positions 323 to 1165 of the family's 2925-position model. The record is from RNAcentral. Lineage: Bacteria; Pseudomonadati; Pseudomonadota; Gammaproteobacteria; Enterobacterales; Enterobacteriaceae.
UGUGUGUUAGUGGAAGCGUCUGGAAAGGCGCGCGAUACAGGGUGACAGCCCCGUACACAAAAAUGCACAUGCUGUGAGCUCGAUGAGUAGGGCGGGACACGUGGUAUCCUGUCUGAAUAUGGGGGGACCAUCCUCCAAGGCUAAAUACUCCUGACUGACCGAUAGUGAACCAGUACCGUGAGGGAAAGGCGAAAAGAACCCCGGCGAGGGGAGUGAAAAAGAACCUGAAACCGUGUACGUACAAGCAGUGGGAGCACGCUUAGGCGUGUGACUGCGUACCUUUUGUAUAAUGGGUCAGCGACUUAUAUUCUGUAGCAAGGUUAACCGAAUAGGGGAGCCGAAGGGAAACCGAGUCUUAACUGGGCGUUAAGUUGCAGGGUAUAGACCCGAAACCCGGUGAUCUAGCCAUGGGCAGGUUGAAGGUUGGGUAACACUAACUGGAGGACCGAACCGACUAAUGUUGAAAAAUUAGCGGAUGACUUGUGGCUGGGGGUGAAAGGCCAAUCAAACCGGGAGAUAGCUGGUUCUCCCCGAAAGCUAUUUAGGUAGCGCCUCGUGAAUUCAUCUCCGGGGGUAGAGCACUGUUUCGGCAAGGGGGUCAUCCCGACUUACCAACCCGAUGCAAACUGCGAAUACCGGAGAAUGUUAUCACGGGAGACACACGGCGGGUGCUAACGUCCGUCGUGAAGAGGGAAACAACCCAGACCGCCAGCUAAGGUCCCAAAGUCAUGGUUAAGUGGGAAACGAUGUGGGAAGGCCCAGACAGCCAGGAUGUUGGCUUAGAAGCAGCCAUCAUUUAAAGAAAGCGUAAUAGCUCACUGGUCGAGUCGGCCUGCGCG